GGCCGCGUGGCCUAAUGGAUAAGGCGUCUGACUUCGAAUCAGAAGAUUGCAGGUUCGAAUCCUGCUGUGGUCG
Molecule: transfer RNA, 73 nt
Filed under: Callorhinchus milii (elephant shark)
Lineage: Eukaryota; Metazoa; Chordata; Chondrichthyes; Chimaeriformes; Callorhinchidae
Description: tRNA-Arg (TCG) (tRNA-Arg-TCG-5-1)
Rfam family: tRNA
About the family: Transfer RNA (tRNA) molecules are approximately 80 nucleotides in length. Their secondary structure includes four short double-helical elements and three loops (D, anti-codon, and T loops).
Source: Rfam by way of RNAcentral